This 498-nucleotide ribosomal RNA is filed under the name uncultured bacterium. RNAcentral describes it as "bacterial SSU rRNA". It matches the Rfam family "Bacterial small subunit ribosomal RNA", at positions 8 to 518 of the family's 1533-position model. The record is from RNAcentral.
AGAGUUUGAUUAUGGCUCAGAACGAACGCUGGUGGCGUGUCUAUACAUGCAAGUCGAGCGAGGCAGCAAUGCCGAGCGGCGAACGGGUGAGUAACGCGUAAGCAAUCUGCCCCAUAUCAGGAAAUACCCGUGCCAACGCGCGGUUAAUGUCCAGGAGAGUGGCCCCCUGCAUGGGGGGUUGACUAGAGAUUUAUCGGUAUGGGAUGAGCUUGCGUCCGAUUAGCUAGUUGGCGGGGCAACGGCCCACCAAGGCGACGAUCGGUAGCCGGCCUGAGAGGGUGAUCGGCCACAUUGGGACUGAGAUACGGCCCAGACUCCUACGGGAGGCAGCAGUAGGGAAUAUUGCACAAUGGGGGAAACCCUGAUGCAGCAACGCCCACGUGUGGGAAGAAGCAUUUCGGUGUGUAAACCACUGUCAUGAGGGAAUAAGGCCCGUUUUAGGACGGGAUUGAAUGUACCUUGAGAGGAAGCACCGGCAAACUUCGUGCCAGCCGCGGC